UACGUAGGGGGCAAGCGUUGUCCGGAAUUAUUGGGCGUAAAGAGCGUGUAGGCGGCCAGGUAGGUCCGUUGUGAAAACUUGAGGCUCAACCUCGAGACGCCGAUGGAAACCAUCUGGCUAGAGUCCGGAAGAGGAGAGUGGAAUUCCCGGUGUAGCGGUGAAAUGCGCAGAUAUCGGGAAGAACACCCGUGGCUAAGGCGGCUCUCUAGUACGGUACUGACGCUGAGACGCGAAAGCGUGGGGAGCGAACAGG
RNAcentral lists this ribosomal RNA (253 nucleotides) under uncultured bacterium. RNAcentral describes it as "partial 16S ribosomal RNA". It matches the Rfam family "Bacterial small subunit ribosomal RNA", at positions 524 to 776 of the family's 1533-position model. The record is from RNAcentral.